AUGAAGGAAGUGGUCCAGGAGCCAAGAGAUAAAGUAUGAAAUAUGGAUAUCCUCAAGAGACGAGUAAAGAGAUUCUUUCUUAGAGCUUCCUGCAAGGAAUCCAGCCCUUCCAACACCUGGUUUCAGCUCGUUCAUCUUGUGUCAGACUUCUGCAAAACUAUAACCACAGAUGAAAAUGGUUUUGCCAUGGUCAACCCUGGGCCACUGUCUUCUCAUUUUAUGUUCAUACAAAUUCUUUCCAGGUCCAUCUAGUCAAGGCUAUGGUUUUUCCACUGGCCAUGUAUGGAUGUGAGAGUUGGACUAUAAGGGAAGCUGAGCACCGAAGAAUUGAUGCUUUUGAACAGUGGUGUUGGAGAAGACUCUUGAGAGUCCCUUGGACUGCAAGGAGAUCCAACCAGUCCAUUCUGAAGGAGAUCAGCCCUGAAUAUUCAUUGGAAGGACUGAUGCUGAAGCUGAAACUCCAAUACUUUGGCCACCUGAUGCAAAGAGUUGACUCAUUGGAAAAGACUCUGAUGCUAGGAGGGAUUGGGGGCAGGAAGAGAAGGGGACGACAGAGGAUGAGAUGGCUGGAGGGCAUCACUGACUUGAUGGACAUGAGUUUGGGUAAACUCCAGGAGUUGGUGAUGGACAGGAAGGCCUGGCGUGCUGCAAUUCAUGGGGUUGGCAAAGAGUCGGACACAACUGAGCGACUGACCUGAACUGAACUGAUUCUCUUCUCAGCAAGUGAAACAGUGGCUGCUUUGCUGGAGUGUUUUUUAAUUUUUUUUUCUUUUCCUUUGGCAGUAUUAUACCUGAAUUCCUGAUUAGUAUUGUCAGCAAUGAAGUCCUUUCCUUAGAACUCAUGUCUACAUUCAGUAACUGGCUAUAACAGGAAUAUCUCUGCAGAAUCUAAACUAGUCAGGAGCUGUGCUUCUGGUGUUUCAGUCUCUCAGAGAUGUGCUAAGUUUACUUUCAAGUCUCAAAUUGUAUUGUUAAAUCUGUAAAUGGAUCAAUUAGAUGCCAGUUAGGUACCAAUCUCUGCUUUUAUGACUGUAGUUCAUUUC
Molecule: long non-coding RNA, 1043 nt
Organism: Bos taurus (domestic cattle)
Lineage: Eukaryota; Metazoa; Chordata; Mammalia; Artiodactyla; Bovidae
Source: Ensembl